This 234-nucleotide long non-coding RNA is filed under the name Elaeis guineensis (African oil palm). Its description in RNAcentral is "long non-coding RNA (EGUI_LNC019429)". The record is from RNAcentral. Lineage: Eukaryota; Viridiplantae; Streptophyta; Magnoliopsida; Arecales; Arecaceae.
GCUUCUUCAAUACAUGCUCUGCUGGAUGUACAACUAUCUGCUAGUAAUGCCCUUAACUACUCCAAGGAGCCCCUUGCAAAACAAGUACUAGGAAAGGAGUCGGUCAUCUUGUUUGUAUCGUAUAAAAGGUUGUUCUUCCACAACGAGGAAGAAAUAAAAGAGAGAAGCAAAUUUAACUUCAAAAUUAAUUUUCUUGUAAUAACACUGCCAAAAUGAGUGCUGUCUUGACAAACC